CCCUACGGGGGGCAGCAGGGAAUUUUCGUCAAUGGGCGCAAGCCUGAACGAGCAAUGCCGCGUGAACGAGGAAGGUCUUCGGAUCGUAAAGUUCUGUUGAAGGGGAAAAAGAGCGGAGAGAGGAAAUGGUCUCCGAUUGAUAUUACCCUUCGAGGAGGUCACGGCUAACUACGUGCCAGCAGCCGCGGUAAUACGUAGGUGGCGAGCGUUAUCCGGAAUGAUUGGGCGUAAAGGGUGCGUAGGCGGCCUGCUAAGUCUGGAGUGAAAGGUACCGGCUCAACCGGUACAGGCUCUGGAAACUGGCG
Molecule: ribosomal RNA, 305 nt
Filed under: uncultured bacterium
Lineage: Bacteria
Description: bacterial SSU rRNA
Rfam family: Bacterial small subunit ribosomal RNA
Source: RNAcentral